RNAcentral lists this ribosomal RNA (407 nucleotides) under uncultured bacterium. Its description in RNAcentral is "partial 16S ribosomal RNA". It matches the Rfam family "Bacterial small subunit ribosomal RNA", at positions 28 to 526 of the family's 1533-position model. The record is from RNAcentral.
GACGAACGCUGGCGGCGUGCUUAACACAUGCAAGUCGAACGAAGUGGCGAACGGGUGAGUAACGCGUAUCAACCUGCCCUUCAGAGGGGGACAACAGUUGGAAACGACUGCUAAUACCGCAUACUAUCAGAUGAGCCUAGGUCGAAUUAGCUAGUUGGUGGGGUAAAGGCCUACCAAGGCGACGAUCCGUAACUGGUCUGAGAGGAUGAUCAGUCCCACUGGAACUGAGACACGGUCCAGACUCCUACGGGAGGCAGCAGUGGGGAAUAUUGGACAAUGGGCGAAAGCCUGAUCCAGCCAUGCCGCGUGUAUGAAGAAGGCCUUCGGGUUGUAAAGUACUUUCAGCGGGGAGGCGUUACCCGCAGAAGAAGCACCGGCUAACUCCGUGCCAGCAGCCGCGGUAAUAC